AGCAGCCGCGGUAAUUCCAGCUCCAAUAGCGUAUAUUAAAGUUGCUGCAGUUAAAAAGCUCGUAGUUGAAUUUCGGGACCAAUAUGUCGGUCGUGCUUCGGUACGUACUGUCAUAAUUGGUUUCUCCCUUCUGAAGAACCUUGAUGUCAUUAAUUUGGUGUCUUGGGGAAUCAGGACUGUUACUUUGAAAAAUUAGAGUGUUUAAAGCAGGCUCGCGCUUGAAUACAUUAGCAUGGAAUAAUGAAAUAGGACGUUUGAUUCUAUUUUGUUGGUUUCUAGGAUCGACGUAAUGAUUAAUAGGGAUAGUUGGGGGCAUUAGUAUUCAAUUGUCAGAGGUGAAAUUCUUGGAUUUAUUGAAGACUAACUACUGCGAAAGCAUUUGCCAAGGAUGUUUUCAUUAAUCAAGAACGAAAGUUAGGGGAUCGAAGACGAUCAGAUACCGUCGUAGUCUUAACCAUAAACUAUGCCG
RNAcentral lists this small RNA (469 nucleotides) under uncultured Glomus. Its description in RNAcentral is "SSU rRNA". It matches the Rfam family "Eukaryotic small subunit ribosomal RNA", at positions 569 to 1044 of the family's 1831-position model. Lineage: Eukaryota; Fungi; Glomeromycota; Glomeromycetes; Glomerales; Glomeraceae. The record is from RNAcentral.